AAGUUCCUUAGUAGUAAUGCAGCCUGCAAUAAAAUCAAAAACCGUUGCAAUAGACACACAGCCAGCAAUACAAGUAACCAAGCAUAUCUAGUGAAACUAUUGGAAAAGUCCUGCCAACAUUCCAUGGACUAAGAAAUAUCACCAGUAACUUUGUGUUUAUAAUAAAACCUCCACAAUAACUAGUUUGUAAUGCUCCAAUAUUCAAUGAGAUGGCAAUAAGGUGAAUAUUUGAACUUAGAAACUGGGAACAUGACCAUGGAUAUCAGUGUCAAAACUUUAAACUCAAAAAAGAAGAAGUUGUGAGUUGAACAGGAAACAAAAACAUUUAACAGCAACAAAGCCAAGAAAACAAGUAUAUACGCACAACACAAUCAUUUAUUAUUACAAAAUCACCAUUAAAAUGCAAUAAUUCAAUGGAACCAAUGAAAACAUUCAUUCUAUAUAAGCUGUCAAGAAAACUUAAGUACAGCAAAGAUAUGACUAUAUGCUAUACAAUUGCAUAUAUAAUUUAACUAAAAUGAAAAAUAAACAUUUACACUUGUAUGAAAGUGACUCCUAUUAUUCCCUCAAAAUUAUCCACGGAAUGCCAUCAAUCUCUUAAAACACAGAGAGCUAGUUGAAUAGGCAUCUAUUUCCAAAUCCAUCAUUUUUCCACAUAACAUAAAUAAAAUGAUCUAGUCCAGACAAAUCUAUCAAUAAAUGAAAUCAACACAAUCAGAAUACACAAAAGGGGUGGGAGAUUAUAGGAUAACAAUGAAUCCUCAUGGAAAUCCACACAAAUGGCAUCAUAAACCUCAUACCAUAAUCAAGAAAUCACAUAUUGAACACAAACCAAAAUGAUGGCAUAGCUCAAUUAGGGCUAUAAAUUUUUAGGAACUCAGGCUCCAAUAAGAUUUUCAUUGUGCUCAAGCUCAGGUUCAGCUCAUUUUAAAUUUUAUUAGACUCAAGCUCUCACAAGUAGCUCAUCUAUCAAACCUGCAAGAUCAGUUCACAUUUUGCUCAUUUAUCAAACCUGCAAGCUCGACUCAUAUUUAGCUUAUUUAUCAAGCCCGAGCUUGACUCAUUAUUAAGUUUAAUGAUCCAAAUUCCUUAAAGAAACUUAUACUUAAUUUUAUUAAUUAUUAUCUUAAUUUAGCAUUACUUUUGUUAAAUUUUACCUAAAAUUCGAAGCAAUGAUAGGCCAAAUAAAAAAAUAAAAAAAAAACUAAAUUGAUAAUUAUAAUAACCUUUAAUUAAAUUAUAUUGCCAUAAAUAAAUCAUUAAUAAAUACGAAAUUAUAUAAACAAGGUUUUUCACAGGCCUCUAAAUGAGCUAUUAUAUGAUCCAGAUAUCAAGCUUAAAAAUGAACUAUUAGUGAGCCGAUUUACGAGUACACCAAAGACCCAGAUCGCAAUUAUACUCAAAUCGAAUAUUAACGAGUUUAAAAUCGACUAAUUUAUUAAAAGAGUUUCAAAAUCAUGCUCAAAGUCAGCUUUUUUUUUAAAUUAAUAAGUGUGCAGAAACAAGCUUUUAUCGAGCUCAUUGUCCUAAACCAAAUCAAAGUAGCACGGCAUAGACCAAAAAAUCAAAUCUAAGAAAACAGAUCACAAAGCAAGAACAGAUGUGAUAAAAUAAAGAGAGAUUUGAGGAAAAAUACCAUCGCCAUCUUUAUCAAAGAGGAUGAAGGCUUCCUUGAACUCAGAG
Molecule: unclassified non-coding RNA, 1683 nt
Filed under: Hevea brasiliensis (rubber tree)
Lineage: Eukaryota; Viridiplantae; Streptophyta; Magnoliopsida; Malpighiales; Euphorbiaceae
Source: RNAcentral